Molecule: ribosomal RNA, 774 nt
Filed under: uncultured Neocallimastigales
Lineage: Eukaryota; Fungi; Neocallimastigomycota; Neocallimastigomycetes; Neocallimastigales
Description: partial large subunit ribosomal RNA
Rfam family: Eukaryotic large subunit ribosomal RNA
Source: RNAcentral
AGAGAGAGACAUGCGCGCAUAUCAAUAAGCGGAGGAAAAGAAACUAACAAGGAUUCCCUUAGUAACGGCGAGUGAAGCGGGAAGAGCUCAAAUUUGAAAUCUUCAAGGUUCUACCUUGACGAAUUGUAGUUUAUAGAAGUGUUUUCUGUUAGUGGAGUGGCAAAAGUUCUUUGGAAUAGGACAUCAUAGAGGGUGAGAAUCCCGUAUUUGGUCAUUCCUCCUAGCGUUGUGAUACACUUUCAACGAGUCGGAUUGUUUGGGAAUGCAGUCCAAAAUGGGUGGUAAAUUUCAUCUAAAGCUAAAUAUUGGCGAGAGACCGAUAGCGAACAAGUACCGUGAGGGAAAGAUGAAAAGAACUUUGAAAAGAGAGUUAAACAGUACGUGAAAUUGUCAAAAGGGAAGCGUUUGACACCAGUGUUGUUUUUCCGAAAAUCAAUUACGAAUGUUUUAUUUUUGAGGAGUUAUGACUUCAUCGGCUUGCUCCUUUCUUUAUGAAACUUUCUUAAUGCACUUUUCGGUUAACAAGUCAACAUCAAUUUCUUUUGUUGUAAAAGGGUAUGAGGAAGGUGGCUUUCUUUUCGGAGAAAGUGUUUAUAGCCUUGUGCCUCUGCAAUCGGAGAGAUUGAGGUCUGCAGCGUAGAUCCUUCGGGGUUAGAUACGUUUGUGCUAAGUUAUAGCUUUUCAUAGACAACUUGUUGACUAUGUUUAGUCUUGUAGCUUACUCGCUGAUGCUAUUUUACCUACGCUUAGGAUGUUGAUAGUCACAGCGUGUAC